RNAcentral lists this ribosomal RNA (497 nucleotides) under uncultured bacterium. RNAcentral's name for it is "partial 16S ribosomal RNA". It matches the Rfam family "Bacterial small subunit ribosomal RNA", at positions 28 to 507 of the family's 1533-position model. The record is from RNAcentral.
GAUGAACGCUGGCGGCGUGCCUAAUACAUGCAAGUCGAGCGAACAGACGAGGAGCUUGCUCCUCUGACGUUAGCGGCGGACGGGUGAGUAACACGUGGAUAACCUACCUAUAAGACUGGGAUAACUUCGGGAAACCGGAGCUAAUACCGGAUAAUAUAUUGAACGGCAUGGUUCAAUAGUGAAAGACGGUUUUGCUGUCACUUAUAGAUGGAUCCGCGCCGCAUUAGCUAGUUGGUAAGGUAACGGCUUACCAAGGCAACGAUGCGUAGCCGACCUGAGAGGGUGAUCGGCCACACUGGAACUGAGACACGGUCCAGACUCCUACGGGAGGCAGCAGUAGGGAAUCUUCCGCAAUGGGCGAAAGCUUGACGGAGCAACGCCGCGUGAGUGAUGAAGGUCUUCGGAUCGUAAAACUCUGUUAUUAGGGAAGAACAAAUGUGUAAGUAACUAUGCACGUCUUGACGGUACCUAAUCAGAAAGCCACGGCUAACUACGUG